AUCCCUUUCUCUUCUUCCUCACGCCGCCUGAAAACCCCACCCCCACGUGCCACUAACCGCCCAGCCGCCGAUCUACUCUCCAGUCGCACCGCUCGUCGUUCGUGGGUUUCGGCCGACCAGAUCCCACCAAUUAGACCACGCCGCUCGUUCGUCGCGUCGCCCCUUUCAGCCAAUUGUUCCGUUCGCGAGCAACGAGAAGCUCUUCAGCUGCCGUUUGUGAGCCACCUGAGCCCUGAAGUCGAAUGCACCUGGAUCAGACGUCGAACGACCGCCGUGAGCCUUUGUCCAGCCGAGCCGCUCAUCCAAAUCCCCUCCAACUGUGCGUCCUCCACUCUAGCCGCACGUCCGCCGCUCCAGCCGCACGUCCGUCGCACCAUUGCCAGUCACCGUCGUCCCUGCCGCGUCGGGUCCAAUUUAGUCUUUGUCAGAAUCUUGGAUUAAGGGGCGAAAUUUUAGGUUGUUGAAGUGUUCGUCCAGUCGAUUAAAGGGGUAGUCGACGAAUCUUGGUGAAGGGUUUGGAUCUUGAGGUUUCCUGGUAUCUUUGUUUUGGCUGAUUUAAGUUUGAUCCUGUGGGCUUUCAGUUUCGUUGAGCAAGGAAGAGGUUGAGCUUGCUAGUUUCUAGAGUUUGCGAGUAAAGACCAAGAAUACCGAGGUAACCUUCUUGGUGGUGUCAUACUCAACUCGACAUAGUCAAGGUUCUGUGGAGGUCGUUCGUGGUGUUCGGGGUGUCCGUGACCUUGGUAAUCGCUUAGUUCGAAUUCGCUGUGAUCGUGCAGUGUAGCAGUUGUGUUAGACGAAAGUUCGUGUGUUGCUGUGUUGUUGUGAUCAAGCGUUCGUGAUCAAGGAACUUAAAGAUGAGUCUUCAAAGGUUUGUUAAUUCAUUCCCUUGAUCAUGUAGUAAAACAUGUUGUAAUUUCUGUUUUAUGCAUAACUGUAUGUUUCUGUUUGUAACUGUAAUUGUGAUGUUCAUAUACGACUGAAAUUUUGAAAGAUCCUUCUGUUGCUCAUGGAAAUCCUUGUGUCCGAUUUUCUUCAACUUUUUCAUUUGAAACAUGGGUCAUGCGAUCAACAUUCAUUUAAAGCAUGUGCCCAAUAAACAUAUUAUAAAAACGUCAUGUAAACUGCCUAUGCGAUAAAAAUAUAAUAAAAACUAUCUUUGGAAAAACAUUUAUUAAAACUUGUCACUCACUAUCUUAGCUACUUAUCCAAAGGGUCCGUAAGUCUCUCUCGCUUACGUCUGUCCUGUAAUAAAAAGAGGUCCCUUGGUUAAUAUCAUUAGCUCCCUUUUGAGCUUAACAUAAUACUUAACUUAACAUUA
Molecule: long non-coding RNA, 1318 nt
Organism: Benincasa hispida (wax gourd)
Lineage: Eukaryota; Viridiplantae; Streptophyta; Magnoliopsida; Cucurbitales; Cucurbitaceae
Source: RefSeq, a predicted model, not a curated record